Molecule: long non-coding RNA, 1017 nt
Organism: Equus caballus (horse)
Lineage: Eukaryota; Metazoa; Chordata; Mammalia; Perissodactyla; Equidae
Source: Ensembl
CAUUUUGUCUACAAGUUAUUACACCUGAAAACGUGGACCCUCAUUGUGUAACCAUGAGAAAGUGAUUUAAACUCUCAAGGUUAAUUCUCUUAGUGCCCCACCUGGAUCCUCUUUACAGGCAGUGCGCCCACCCCCUGGCUGCUGUUUGUGUUGCCUGAUGACAAUUCACAGCUGCCCCUACUCCUGAAAAUAGUCCUCAGCCAAAUAGAAGUCUCCUUGCCCAGGAGGCAACACCCGCUACUGCCCAGGGCAGAUCUCAGCCAAUGGCAGCAGACUUAAUGGGACAAAAAGCUGGCCCCCUUGCCUGAAGCUGGGCUUAGUUUUACGGUGAAACUCCAGCCUCUCUGUGGAAUCAAACUGAAACUAAUCUUUAGCAGUCUUGUUGCUCAGGAACCAAACUUUAAGACAGCUGGCAUCAGAAAUGGUCUCAGGAAGCUGACUCUGAGGAUGGGAUUCUGGAGUUGGCUUGCUUGCUGGCUGGAUGGCAAUGAAGACCCCAUAGCUGAAGGCAUCCAUUCAUGGGAUCCUAUCUGCCCCUCUAAACUGAGAUAAGAUUGCCUCAACGUCAUUUCAAACCUUGUGAAAGUCUUAAAGCCUUCCGCAGAUUGCCGGGGCCAGUGUCUUCUCUGGCUCCUCUGGGCCUCCAUCAUGGCGUUACUGGACUGGUUCAGCUGGGAGGUCCUCUUGCAUCCUGUGGGCACUCUGGUGUCUAUGCCUCAAAUUCUAUAAAACAGCAUUCUCACAAAGCACUUUCACUGUGGUGGAUUUUACAGAGGCUUUUGGCGGGAGCAAAGGAGGGCUAUUUAUCCCAGCGACACAGCUUCCACUUGAACAUAACUCACUCUUGUUCUUACAAGCCUUUUAGUGUUCCCCACUGGGAUUUUUCAUUGGCUUCUUCACCUGAGAGUGUCAGCCUACCUCUGCCAAUUUGCCGACUCCUCCCUUUUUCUCUCCUCUUUAUUCCCUCUUUCCUUGUUAUCCUUGAGAGUGCUAAAAUUUUCUCAUUCUAGGAUGCCA